UCCUAGAAGGCCAAGAGAGGAGAAAGCAGUUGGCAGAGGCACGGCCUUCGAGGACAGAAGGAACUGAGCUGUGCAGCACUUCUCUUCAGGCUUCAACCCUCCUUGCAACAACAACUGCUCUGAACUGAACAGGAACAAAACAGCCUUGGUCAGCAGCCUGUUCUAGUGGGACUUCCCUGGCACAUCAGAAAGAAGCCACAGAGGCACAACUACAAAGAGAACAUUUCUCCACAUCGCUGCCCAUGGAGGAUCUGGUUUCCAGUGAAACAACAGCUGGACCAUCUGGCAUCUGUGUUCAGGCCCACCAGGCCUUCUUCCUAGCAGUUCUCCACGUCAAUCACAGUGUGCUCCCAUCACAACCCUACUCCUGACUUGUACCAGGUAAUUCCAUCAUUCUGCACCAUUACUUUUGCUCUGCUCGGCACUGGUGAGGCUGCACCUGGAGAACAGCAUCCAGCUCUGGGCUCCCAGUCCAAGAGACAGCUGGACAUACUGCAAAGAGUCCAAUGGAGGGCUACCAAGAUGGUGAAGGGACUGGAACACCUCUUCCACGACAAGAGGCUGAAAGAGAGGGGGCUGCUCAGCCUGGAGAAGGGCAGCUCAGGGGGAUCCCAGCCACAGCCAUCAAUCCUGCAAGGGCAGAGAGGAUGGAGCCGGGCUGCAUCCCAUGGAGCCCAGUGCCAGGACCAGAGGCUGCCACCAAACAUCAGGAGCACUCCUGCACUGUAAGCUGCAGCACUGGCACAGGCACCCAGAGAGGCUGCAGUUUCUCCUCUUGGAGAUCUCCAAACCCAUCUGGACGUGGUCCUGGGCACCAGUUCUGGUAGCUUUGUUGGAGCAGGGCUGGACCAGAUGGACCAGAGGUCCCCUCCAGCAUCAGCCAUGCAGUGCUUCCACAACACACACGACGUGCUGCGUUUGGCUCAAAACGGCCAUUCACAAACGGGUUUCUCCUGCCUCCUGCUCAGUGCCACCUCUGUGGGAUCACACUGCCUCCUACGAUCCACCUCUGUUCCAACAAAGAUCAACAGCAAAACAGUGCUGACCUUCACGAAGUCUGGGCUUUGGAAAAUAGGCACAGGAAUAACCACUGCAUGGGUGGAACCCUGUGGGUUGAACCAGGAGGGAACAGCAUGCCCAGAGAGUUUAUCUGGAAAAAUACUUCCUCUAUGAGCUAACAUUCAGUUGGAUUUUUUAUUAACUCUCAAGCAGGAAAAGCAGAUAUAUGUGGGGCAUUGUCCUCUAUAGGAGGAAACAGAAAGAAGUUACAAAUUUACCACUCGUAAAAAGAUAGCGCUCUUCCUGCCCUAUCCACACUCCUUACAUUCAUGUGAUCAGGGCAAAUGCCUGGCACAGCAUGGCACAGCAAACAGGCACACUCACCAUCGCUCAAGUGCUUGGUUAAUCUCUUAUUGUUCAGGUCCACCAGCUGCUGGCAACUGCAAUAAAAACCAGAGAGAGCAUCAGUUUUCUAGCAAGCAGUUCUUACAAGGUGCCACCCCUGCCAUUUCGUGGUGCUGGUUAAGUGACUGUGACUGUAAGGCACAGCGAUACACACAUGAUUUCCCAAUCUGAAAGCAACACCUGAACAGCACUACAGAAUGCCCAUAAACACACAUUGCUUCGCACUGAACCAACAAGGCCUGCCUUGCAGCACGACAGCAGCUCUGCGUGAGAGAGGGAUGCAGAUCAAGGCAGCAGGGCGUAAGAAAUGCCUUUUUUAUUCCUAGAGUGACAGCCUGGCUGAGGUUACAAGCAGCAGACUGCCACUCCUGUGCUGCUGUCAGUGAGCCCAGCCCUUGUGCAAGAGCAGCAGUGCCUGUGCUCGCCCUGCAUGUGACUCUUACACAUCUGGAACAUCAUCACAGUGCGCUGCCCUGCCAAGCAAGCUCAGCACGGCGUUGCCACACAGGCGCUCCUCAGCACUCAAUUUGUUCUCUCCUUCAUGGAAUCGUGGAUCUCUGGGCAACCUACGACCCAGGCAUCAGAAAAAUAAAGCUUCCGCCCUUCUCGA
Molecule: long non-coding RNA, 2014 nt
Organism: Tympanuchus pallidicinctus (lesser prairie-chicken)
Lineage: Eukaryota; Metazoa; Chordata; Aves; Galliformes; Phasianidae
Exons: 2
Source: RefSeq, a predicted model, not a curated record